RNAcentral lists this ribosomal RNA (435 nucleotides) under uncultured Planctomycetota bacterium. Its description in RNAcentral is "bacterial SSU rRNA". It matches the Rfam family "Bacterial small subunit ribosomal RNA", at positions 930 to 1497 of the family's 1533-position model. The record is from RNAcentral. Lineage: Bacteria; Pseudomonadati; Planctomycetota.
CGGUGGAGCAUGUGGCUUAAUUCGAGGCAACGCGAAGAACCUUACCUAGGCUUGACAUGGUUGGAUGUGUUCCCUGAAAGGUGACUCCGAACGCACAGGUGUGACGAGCGAAACCCCUGUCCUUAGUUGCCAGCGGGACGUCAAGUAUCACGGCCUUUAUGCCUAGGCUGCAUACAUGGCAUGUACAAGGGACGCGAACGCGCAAGCGGGAGCAUCUCAAAAAGCAUGCCCCAGUUCAGAUUGCAGUGCAACUCGCCUGCAUGAAGCCGGAAUCGCUAGUAAUCGAGAUCAGCUAUGCUGCGGUGAAUGUGUUCCUGAGCCUUGUACACACCGCCGUCAAGCCACGAAAGCGGGGAGCAUCCAAAGUCGCCGAGCUAACCGUAAGGAAGCAAGCGCCUAAGUGAGCUCCGUGAUUGGGACUAAGUCGUACAAGGU